UGGGGAAUAUUGCACAAUGGGCGAAAGCCUGAUGCAGCAACGCCGCGUGAGUGAUGAAGGUCUUCGGAUUGUAAAGCUCUGUCUUUUGGGACGAUAAUGACGGUAACCAAAGGAGGAAGCCACGGCUAACUACGUGCCAGCAGCCGCGGUAAUACGUAGGUGGCGAGCGUUGUCCGGAUUUACUGGGCGUAAAGGGUGCGUAGGCGGAUGUUUAAGUGAGAAUGUGAAAUACCCGGGCUUAACUUGGGUGGCUGCAUUUCAA
This 262-nucleotide ribosomal RNA is filed under the name uncultured bacterium. RNAcentral describes it as "partial 16S ribosomal RNA". It matches the Rfam family "Bacterial small subunit ribosomal RNA", at positions 355 to 631 of the family's 1533-position model. The record is from RNAcentral.